AUACGUAGGGUGCGAGCGUUGUCCGGAAUUACUGGGCGUAAAGAGCUCGUAGGUGGUUUGUCGCGUCGUCUGUGAAAUUCCGGGGCUUAACUCCGGGCGUGCAGGCGAUACGGGCAUAACUUGAGUACUGUAGGGGAGACUGGAAUUCCUGGUGUAGCGGUGAAAUGCGCAGAUAUCAGGAGGAACACCGGUGGCGAGGGCGGGUCUCUGGGCAGUAGCUGACGCUGAGGAGCGAAAGCAGGGGUAGCGAACAGGAUUAGAUACCCUGGUAGUCCAUGCCGUAAACGGUGGGCGCUAGGUGUAGGGGUCUUCCACGACUUCUGUGCCGUAGCUAACGCAUUAAGCGCCCCGCCUGGGGAGUUCGGCCGCAAGGCUAAAACUCAAAUGAAUUGACGGGG
This 398-nucleotide ribosomal RNA is filed under the name uncultured bacterium. Its description in RNAcentral is "partial 16S ribosomal RNA". It matches the Rfam family "Bacterial small subunit ribosomal RNA", at positions 523 to 918 of the family's 1533-position model. The record is from RNAcentral.